UCUGACGACCAUAGCGAGUCGGAACCACCCCUUCCCAUCCCGAACAGGACCGUGAAACGACUCCGCGCCAAUGAUAUUGCGCACUACGCGUGAGAAAGGAGGUCAUCGUCAGAC
Molecule: ribosomal RNA, 114 nt
Filed under: Rhodocyclaceae bacterium
Lineage: Bacteria; Pseudomonadati; Pseudomonadota; Betaproteobacteria; Rhodocyclales; Rhodocyclaceae
Source: RNAcentral